RNAcentral lists this ribosomal RNA (468 nucleotides) under uncultured bacterium. RNAcentral describes it as "partial 16S ribosomal RNA". It matches the Rfam family "Bacterial small subunit ribosomal RNA", at positions 28 to 507 of the family's 1533-position model. The record is from RNAcentral.
GACGAACGCUGGCGGCGUGCUUAACACAUGCAAGUCGAACGGAAAGGCGCUGAUUUUGUGGGGUGCUCGAGUGGCGAACGGGGGAGUAACACGUGAGUAACCUGCCCUUGACUUUGGGAUAACUUCAGGAAACUGGGGCUAAUACAGGAUAGGAGCUCCUGCUGCAUGGGGGGGGUUGGAAAGUUUCGGCGGUUGUGGAUGGACUAGCGGCUUAUCAGCUUGUUGGUGGGGUAGUUGCUGACCAAGGCUUUGACGGGUAGCCUGCCUGAGAGCGUAAACGGCGACAAUACGCCUACGAUACGGACCAGACUGCUACGGUCGGCAGCAGGGGGGAAUCUUGCACAAUGAGCGGAAGCGUGAUACAGCAACGCCGCGUGCGGGAUGCCCGCCUUCGGGUUAUGAACCGCUUUCGCCUGAAACGAAGAGUGAGUGACGGUACUGAGUAAAGAAGCACCGGCUAACUACGUG